RNAcentral lists this ribosomal RNA (197 nucleotides) under uncultured bacterium. RNAcentral's name for it is "partial 16S ribosomal RNA". It matches the Rfam family "Bacterial small subunit ribosomal RNA", at positions 328 to 539 of the family's 1533-position model. The record is from RNAcentral.
ACGCUCGACACCUACAGGAGGCAGCAGUGGGGAAUAUUGCACAAUGGGGGAAACCCUGAUGCAGCGACGCCGCGUGAGUGAAGAAGUAUUUCGGUAUGUAAAGCUCUAUCAGCAGGGAAGAAGAUGACGGUACCUGAGUAAGAAGCCCCGGCUAACUACGUGCCAGCAGCCGGGUAAUCUGAGCGGGCUGGCAAGGC